Molecule: transfer RNA, 57 nt
Filed under: Tetranychus phaselus
Lineage: Eukaryota; Metazoa; Arthropoda; Arachnida; Trombidiformes; Tetranychidae
Description: tRNA-Phe
Source: RNAcentral
AUUUUAAUGUUUAAACUCUUUUUUAUUUACAUUGAAGAUGUAAUUUUUAUUAGAGUA